Molecule: ribosomal RNA, 253 nt
Filed under: uncultured bacterium
Lineage: Bacteria
Description: partial 16S ribosomal RNA
Rfam family: Bacterial small subunit ribosomal RNA
Source: RNAcentral
UACGUAGGGGGCAAGCGUUGUCCGGAAUCAUUGGGCGUAAAGCGCGCGUAGGCGGCCCGGUAAGUCCGCUGUAAAAGUCCGGGGCUCAACCCUGGAAAGCCGGUGGAUACUGUCGGGCUAGAGUCCGGAAGAGGCGAGUGGAAUUCCUGGUGUAGCGGUGGAAUGCGCAGAUAUCAGGAAGAACACCCGUGGCGAAGGCGGCUCUCUGGGACGGUACUGACGCUGAGACGCGAAAGCGUGGGGAGCGAACAGG